Long non-coding RNA from Planococcus citri (citrus mealybug), 2752 nucleotides. RefSeq lists it as uncharacterized. NCBI's taxonomy places the organism in Eukaryota, Metazoa, Arthropoda, Insecta, Hemiptera, Pseudococcidae. The transcript is spliced from 2 exons. The record is from RefSeq and is a predicted model, not a curated record.
GGAGAGAAGAAUCAAUGUAUUUAAGAAAAAAGAAACACGUAUUAGAUUAUUUUAUACCUAUUAAUGACAGAAUGAACUAAAAGGAGUAAGUGUACUCCAGAAAAAAAGAAGAAAAACAUUAGAAUUUUUUGUCUUACAUUCAAGAAGGAUGGAUUUUCAAUGGAUUUUUAUUUUUUAUCACCAUGUACAGAAUCUGCUACAGAACCAAGGCCUGCUGGAUUUCCUCCGAAUGCUUCGUCUUGUUUCGGGUUUACUUGUCCUGAUUGGCCAUCUUCUGGUUUUUCUUCUUGCGAUAUUUGCUGCUCUUGGGAUGGUCUGAACAUUAACACAAUCAACAGCGUUAUGCCGAAUAAGUGAACGAAUUUCAUUUUUGGGUAUACAAUUUUUUCAGAAAUAUAAUUGUUUGUUUCGCAAAGAUGAACUGUUUUUUUUCGACUAGACGAAACACAUACGAUCGAAUUAUGUACUGAGUGAAGACUAAAAGACACCUCACGAUGUACUCUGAUUUUAUAGUCAGUAGAAUGCUUUCGGUAAAUGGUUAUACUUAUCUAAAAAUAAAGUGGUUCCUUAUCCCUGAUUUCAUUUUUAAAAGUACCUAUCCAUAUCUUAAUUUAAAAGGUUUAUUUUAGAUGAUGAAUGCCCAUUUAGUUAAAAGUCUUGCUAAUUGCCCUCGUGUGACGAAAUAUAUUAAGUGAGGAUUUGAGCUAUCUACUUAAGUGCAUUUGUUAUGAAAAUACACAUUAAGUGAUUAUUCAAUGAGGUCAUGUCGUGACCUAUUUUGAGAGUAAAUCAUGGGUUCAAUGUUACCUGAGAAAUCAAAUUAUUUGUGUGCAUGAGUGAGUGUGAUUAUUUUAAACCAAGUUUGAAUUGUUAAGUACUAACAGUGAUCAAAAAUUCUGUAAAAUCUGUAAAAUUGACGUUACACUGAACAUUCAAACCUCACUUUGAUAAAAAAUGAAACAUUUUAGAACGAUUUGUUGAAAUCUUUCGAUUGUAUGGUGUUUUUUUUUUUGGAUGGGAGAGAAUGGUAAAAAUAAAUUGAACGAUUCCAAACGAACGAGUGAUUGUAUUUAAGAAAAAUUAUCGAUAGGCAUGCUCAUAAAAAUCAGGUAUAACUGAGGAGAAAGCAAUAUUCACAGAGUUAUAUUUAAAUAUUUUUCAAUUCAAUAUUUUCUAACAUACAUACAAAUUAUUUCUCGUUAUGUGGCAUAUUUAAAAUUGGAGAAAAUAAAUUUAAAAAAAUCAUUGAUGGGUGUACUACAUACUUCUGUGGUCAAGUGUACCAAUUGUGAUGAAGAGAAGAAAAAAAAUCAUCUUACGUUCCAGAAAUAUUUUUAUCGCGUUUUAUUUUCUGCCCAUGGGCAAACCUCCACUGCCACCUUCAUCUUCUUGGUUUUCUCCUUCUUCCGGGGUUUCUUGUUGUUGUUGUUGAUCUUCUUCGCCUUCUCGAUUUUCACAACCUUCUUGCUGUUCUCCCGAUCUCUGCUCUCCUUCACCAUAUUGUUCAUUUUGUUGCCCUUCUUGCUCUCGUUCUUCUUCUCCUUCGCAUUGGUGGUUAGCCUGUGUUACUUGGCUGAAAGCGAACACGACGAACAAAGUGAUACCGAACACGAAAACAAAUUUCAUUUUUGAUACGAAUUUUUGUUUUUCCGCUUAUUUGCAAAAAAGUGAUUUAUUUUUUUGUAAGUGAACUAAAAACACAACGAUCGAAAGAUGUGCUGAGUGGAAACUAGUGUAAAAUUGACGAUCUGUUCUGCUUUUAUAGUCGGAAUGCCUUUCGGUGCAUGUAUGAAAAAAUGACGUGGUUCUUUUUUCUUGGCUUGUAUUAUUUUAUUUCAAAAUUUCAUUCGAGAUAAAUGUCCAUGUCCAUUUAGUUUGCUAUUUUUGUUAAUUGCUUGUAUGUAUGUGACGAAGUGUUGAGUGAUGAUUCGUAGUGUAGUAGGCACUAAUGUAGGAAAAUUACCUGGGUGCAUUCUCGUGAUGAAGAUAAGGUGGCUAAUGAGGUCACAAGGUGAACUACUUUGAAAGUAAUGGAUUCUAUUUCACUCGAAAAAUCAACCUGCGAAUGCACGAGUGGCUGAGAUUAUUUUUAAUUAGUUGUGAAGUGUGAAAAAUCGUGUGUUUUAUUUUAAUGAAUUACAAUUCUAAGUGUUUCUGUUUUCUAAAUUGGCCGUUUGAUCGAUUGGAAGAGGCAUCCUUACGUUAUUUUUGGGAGUAAAAUAGGUGAAAAUUUUGAGAUCAGGUGUUGAAUCCUUCAUACUCACUUAUGCCAUGCCAUAUUUUUAAAACGUUCAGAGUGGUUCAGAAAAAAAUUUCCUUGCGAAAGAUUUUACACACAUUCCUGGUAAAUUACCAGUAUUUUUUUUGGUAAUUUAGAUGAGCUGGAAUCGUCGCCAUCUUUCUUUCCUGAAUCCGAAUCUUUAUCUGAUUUUCCGCUAUCUGUUUCGUCUGGAGUUGUUUUUUCAGCCGGAAGCGAUUUCACUCCGAUGCUCAUCACCAAAGUAACCAAUAAGAUCAUACCGAACAAGUGAAUUCGAUUCAUUUUGAAUAAUUAAUUUAUGUUGUAAUUGGACGACUUGCUACUGCCAACUUUUCUUCAAAAUUUCGUUUGGAAAUUUUAUAUCGCAGCGAACUUCUUUUAUACUUGUCCUACCUAUAGGUAUUUUUGAAUACUAGAAUUUAAGUACGAGUUAUUUCCCUUGCGAUGGCCUAGAAUAAUGCAUUGAAAAAAUAAAACGCGAUUUCGUAAUAA